This 497-nucleotide ribosomal RNA is filed under the name uncultured bacterium. Its description in RNAcentral is "partial 16S ribosomal RNA". It matches the Rfam family "Bacterial small subunit ribosomal RNA", at positions 28 to 507 of the family's 1533-position model. The record is from RNAcentral.
GAUGAACGCUGGCGGCGUGCCUAAUACAUGCAAGUCGAGCGAACAGACGAGGAGCUUGCUCCUCUGACGUUAGCGGCGGACGGGUGAUUAACACGUGGAUAACCUACCUAUAAGACUGGGAUAACUUCGGGAAACCGGAGCUAAUACCGGAUAACAUGUUGAACCGCAUGGUUCAACAGUGAAAUACGGUUUUUCUGUCACUUAUAGAUGGAUCAGCGUCGCAUUAGCUAGUUGGUAAGGUAACGGCUUACCAAGGCAACGAUGCGUAGCCGACCUGAGAGGGUGAUCGGCCACGCUGGAACUGAGACACGGUCCAGAAUCCUACGGGAGGCAGCCGUAGCGAAUCUUCCGCAAUGGGCGAAAUCCUGACGGAGCAACGCCGCGUGAGUGAAGAAGGUCUUCGGAUCGUAAAACUCUGUUAUUCGGGAAGAACAAAUGUGUAAGUAACUAUGCACGUCUUGACGGUACCUAAUCAGAAAGCCACGGCUAACUACGUG